GAAAUUAGCUGGGCUAUGAUAAAAGCUUCUUUAUAUUUUAUCAAUCGUGAUAGUCUCGUGAGGGUGAAUGAUAAAGAAGCAUACAGUGUGUUAUUUUCUUUUGUUGAACUCCAUGUUCUCACUCAGCUUGUUGUUUGUUUUUAUUUAUCUCUAACACCAGGAUCAUCACAACUGAUCAAUAUGAUUGGUAAUUCAUACCCAACGUCUGGAGGUUCAUUAUCCCAGAACCAAAUGCAACCAGGAAAUAAUUCUCUAGGUUCCAUGGGGAUGCUACAUGACGCCAGUGACAGCACUCCAUUCGACAUCAAUGAUUUCCCCCAAUUGACUGGUCGACCUAAUUCAGCUGGUGGUCCGCAAGGACAAUAUGGAUCACUACGGAAGCAAGGAGUUGGUGUUAACUCCAUUGUUCAACAAAACCAGGAGUUCAGUAUUCAGAACGAAGAUUUCCCGGCUUUGCCAGGAUUUAAAGGUAGCAGUUCAGAUUAUGCUAUGGAGUUAAAUCACACGGAACAACUUCACGAGAAUGUACCUGUAAUGCAAGGACAACAAUAUCCCAUGGCAAGGUCCGUUGGGUUUAAUUUAGGAAAUAGCUACCAACCAAAUCGUCAGCAACAUCUGCAGGGUGCUAAUUCAAUUCAGAGCGCCGGACCUCAAAAUAUUGGACUAAGACCACUAAACUCUUCGAGUCAAACUUCUAAUUUGGGAUCAUACGAGCAACUGCUCCAGCAAUACCAGCAGCCGAAGGCUCAGAGUCCUUUCGGGUUGCAGCAGAUGUCUUCAGCCACACAGCCAUAUGGGGAUCAUGGUCUAAAGCCCAUUCUGGGAGGCCGAACACCACCUGAUCCAUACGGCUUGUUGGGAUUGCUGGGAGUUAUAAGGACGAAUGAUCCUGAUUUGUCAUCUCUUGCUUUGGGAAUAGAUUUGACAACGUUGGGUUUGAAUUUGAACUCACCAGACAAUCUGUACAAGACAUUUGGCUCUCCAUUUUCAAAUGAGCCAGCAAAAGGAGAUCCAGAAUAUCCUACUCCAGCUUGUUAUGUGGCUGAGCAACCCCCAGCACUACAGCCUAUGCAUUUUCAGAAAUUUCAGACACUCAUACUGUUUUACAUAUUCUACAGCAUGCCGAAGGAUGAAGCUCAAAUAUGUGCUGCCAAUGAACUACAUAAUCGUGGAUGGUUUUACCAUAAAGAAGCGCAGCAAUGGUUCACAAGAAUUCCCAACAUGGAGCCUAUUGUCAAAACUCCUACAUAUGAACAGGGGUCUUUUGCCUUCUUUCAUCAAGGCAAUUGGGAAACAGUCCGUAAGGAUAACUUUGUUCUCCAUUAUGAGCUAGUAGAGAAAAGGCCUAGUCUCCCUUCCGCGUCCCAAAUUGUUAGGUGAAAAUUUUCUGGGUACCUCCUGACUCUAGCUUUCUUGUACAUGAAUGGAGAGCCUUCUUUAUAAACAUAGUGUAGCGAUAUUGCCCUAACUUGUCAAGAUAGUCUAUGUAGUGAAUCAGAGAGCACCAUGUCAUGUCAGAGACGCGGAGAGGAGGCGGCUGCAGAAGGAGGAGAAAAUGCCUUUGUAAUUACAGUAUAUAGUUAGAAAAAGGAUGGCACUGUCGUUAAACAUUACCUAGCUUCUUCGUACAUCAUGGGGAGUUUGUCUGUAAUGCUCCUUGACAAACAGUUUCGGAGUAGCCAGUCAGUCUGCAACUUAAAUAGACCACAACGGAACAAAACAAAACAAAUUGGUUUAUCUUC
Triticum urartu is the source of this 1742-nucleotide non-coding RNA. The record is from RefSeq and is a predicted model, not a curated record. NCBI's taxonomy places the organism in Eukaryota, Viridiplantae, Streptophyta, Magnoliopsida, Poales, Poaceae.